GGCCAAUCGGCGUCCAAAAAUACCGAUUUCCAAUUGUUAUGAAAACUUGAAAUCGGCCCUAAUUAAUCGGCCAUUCCGAUUAAUUGGUCGACCUCUAAUGUAGACGUAGUGCCUCCAUGUGUUUCCAUUCCAGUGAAAUGGUGUUUAACAUCUAGUCUCUCUGUCGAUAUCUCCCUCUCUCACCAUGAUUACAACCUUUGAAGGCCAGCCAAAACAUUUUGUUUCAUCUGUUAAAUCUUUUCAAUAAGAUGUUUUUGAUUGUAGACUGAGGGUUCCAUUGCCCCCUUCUACCCUCCCAGCUUUCCAACACAAUGGCAGCCCAUCAUAACCACAACCACAAUCCCAACACAACAGUCACACUAACCAUUACAAAUGGCAGUCAGAGGAUGUUUUCACUCAGAAACAGUACUGACUAAUGUGCGUUAAGACGAACUGCAACUGAGGAAGACAACCAAUCUAUUUACAGAGAGGAGUAAAGGGAGAAUCUUAGAGAGUGUUUUGGAGAGUGGCAGAGAAAGAAGGAAUUGGAAAGAAAAGAGGAUAAGUGGAAGAGGGGGAGAGGAAGAAAGAGAGAGAGAGGCUCACUGCCUGUUGACUCACUGAGCAGGAAUGACUUGACCUGUCGUGAUCUGUAUGACUGAGCAGUGUGCACGCUUUCUCUUUCACAUACGCUCUCUCUCUCUCUCGCACUCUCUCGCCACAGACACACUUGCCAGCUGAGUGGAGAGCUCCAGCACAGCCUCAGGGACUUAGAGGGACUCUGCCGGGGAAGAGAGACAGGCAGGGACCCCCCCCCCUCUGGAGCUCACUGGAACUUACUCUGUUUUUCUCUCUCUCUUUCUCUCUCUCUUUGUCUGUUCUCUCUCACUUAGUCUCUCUCCCCUUUCUCUCCCAUUAUCUCUCUAUUUCUACUCUCUCCUUCUGUCUCUUUCCCUCGCUCUUUUUUCCCUCUCUCCUCUCUCUCUCUGUCUAUCUCUCCCUCUUUCUCAGAAUGGACACAGGAUGUGAAGAGAGCAGGUGGCUGACAGUCUCACAGCAACAGAAAUGGGAGGCUGUGCAGGAUAUGACAAGCAGCCAUCAAGUCAGCAGACUAACUGGAGAGCUCUACUUUACGUCACAGGGGACAGACCCUUGGUUGGCAGAGCGGUUGCUGAGCUUUGAGAACAACAGUCAGGUGGGUAGAUGAGUAACAUUGUGUUCCUGUUUGUUGGAUGAGUUCCAGAAUAGAAGACUAGUAGACUGGUUAGAUAACAAAUAGUUGUUACGUAUUUGUUACAGGUGUUGAUAGAUAAUGAUUGUUGUCAUGAAUUGUGCAUACAAAAUUGUAUCAUUGUCCUAUAGUGUCUAAUAUUGUAAUGUGUUGUGUUUUCUUUAUGUUGAUGUGAAGAGAAUAAAAAAUAAAAAAGAUAUGCUAUUGUU
Molecule: long non-coding RNA, 1419 nt
Organism: Oncorhynchus tshawytscha (Chinook salmon)
Lineage: Eukaryota; Metazoa; Chordata; Actinopteri; Salmoniformes; Salmonidae
Exons: 3
Source: RefSeq, a predicted model, not a curated record